RNAcentral lists this ribosomal RNA (478 nucleotides) under uncultured bacterium. Its description in RNAcentral is "partial 16S ribosomal RNA". It matches the Rfam family "Bacterial small subunit ribosomal RNA", at positions 28 to 523 of the family's 1533-position model. The record is from RNAcentral.
GACGAACGCUGGCGGCGUGCUUAACACAUGCAAGUCGAACGGUAAGGCCCUUCGGGGUACACGAGUGGCGAACGGGUGAGUAACACGUGGGUGAUCUGCCCUGCACUUCGGGAUAAGCCUGGGAAACUGGGUCUAAUACCGGAUAGGACCCUGGGAUGCAUGUCCUGGGGUGGGAAGCUUUUGCGGUGUGGGAUGGGCCCGCGGCCUAUCAGCUUGUUGGUGGGGUGAUGGUCUACCAAGGCGACGACGGGUAGCCGGCCUGAGAGGGUGACCGGCCACACUGGGACUGGGAUACGGCCCAGACUCCUACGGGAGGCAGCAGUGGGGAAUAUUGCACAAUGGGCGCAAGCCUGAUGCAGCGACGCCGCGUGAGGGAUGACGGCCUUCGGGUUGUAAACCUCUUUCAGCACCGACGAAGCGCAAGUGACGGUAGGUGCAGAAGAAGGACCGGCCAACUACGUGCCAGCCGCCGCGGUAA